Molecule: ribosomal RNA, 301 nt
Filed under: uncultured bacterium
Lineage: Bacteria
Description: partial 16S ribosomal RNA
Rfam family: Bacterial small subunit ribosomal RNA
Source: RNAcentral
CAGUCGCACGGUAAUACGAAGGGUGCAAGCGUUACUCGGAAUUACUGGGCGUAAAGCGUGUGUAGGUGGUUGUUUAAGUCUGUCGUGAAAGCCCUGGGCUCAACCUGGGAAUUGCGAUGGAUACUGGGCGACUAGAGUGCGGUAGAGGAUAGUGGAAUUUCCGGUGUAGUAGUGAAAUGCGUAGAGAUCGGAAGGAACAUCUGUGGCGAAGGCGACUAUCUGGGCCAACACUGACACUGAGACACGAAAGCGUGGGGAGCAAACAGGAUUAGAGACCCGAGUAGUCCCUGUCUCUUAUACC